CCUACGGGUGGCAGCAGUGAGGAAUAUUGGUCAAUGGGCUUACGCCUGAACCAGCCAAGUCGCGUGAGGGAAGACUGCCCUAUGGGUUGUAAACCUCUUUUGUCAGGGAGCAACGCCGGCUACGUGUAGCCUGACUGAGAGUACCUGAAGAAAAAGCAUCGGCUAACUCCGUGCCAGCAGCCGCGGUAAUACGGAGGAUGCGAGCGUUCGCCGGCUUUAUUGGGUUAAAAGGGUGCGUAGGCGGAAUGCCAAGUCAGCGGUAAAAUCGCGGGGCUCAACCGCGCUCGGCCGUUGAAACUGGGGUUCUGGAGUGGGCGAGAGGUAUGCGGAAUGCGUGGUGUAGCGGUGAAAUGCAUAGAUAUCAGGCAGAACUCCGAUGGCGAAGGCAGCAUACCGGCGCCCAACUGACGCUGAAGCACGAAAGCGUGGGUAUCGAACAGGAUUAGAUACCCGAGUAGUC
Molecule: ribosomal RNA, 460 nt
Filed under: uncultured bacterium
Lineage: Bacteria
Description: partial 16S ribosomal RNA
Rfam family: Bacterial small subunit ribosomal RNA
Source: RNAcentral